RNAcentral lists this ribosomal RNA (619 nucleotides) under Rhizopus arrhizus. Its description in RNAcentral is "Rhizopus oryzae partial large subunit ribosomal RNA". It matches the Rfam family "Eukaryotic large subunit ribosomal RNA", at positions 83 to 636 of the family's 3401-position model. The record is from RNAcentral. Lineage: Eukaryota; Fungi; Mucoromycota; Mucoromycetes; Mucorales; Rhizopodaceae.
GUACGGCGAGUGNNNAGGAAGAGCUCAAAGUUGGAACCUGUUUGGCCUAGCUAAANNNNNNNNNNNNGUAGAAGUGUUUUCCAGGCAAGCCGAGUAANNNNNUNNUUUGGAACAGGGCAUCAUAGAGGGUGAGAAUCCCGUCUUUGGCUUGAGCAUUUGCCUUUUGUGAUACGCUUUCAAAGAGUCAGGUUGUUUGGGAAUGCAGCCUAAAUUGGGUGGUAAAUCUCACCUAAAGCUAAAUAUUGGCGAGAAACCGAUAGCGAACAAGUACCGUGAGGGAAAGAUGAAAAGAACUUUGAAAAGAGAGUUAAACAGUAUGUGAAAUUGUUAAAAGGGAACCGUUUGGAGCCAGACUGGCUUGUCUGUAAUCAAUCUAGGCUUCGGCCUGGAUGCACUUGCAGGCUAUGCCUGCCAACGACAAUUUGACUUGAGGGAAAAAACUAGGGGAAAUGUGGCCCACUUGUGGGUGUUAUAGUCCCUUAGAAAAUACCUUGGGUUGGAUUGAGGAACGCAGCGAAUGCUUAUUGGCGAGUUUUCCAGGAAGGUUUUCUGAGGUACUACGGUAUCAAGGUUGAUCUUUUUGGUUAUACUUCUAUUCGCUUAGGUUGUUGGCUUAAUG